AACGGCCGCGGUAUUUUGACCGUGCUAAGGUAGCGUAAUCACUUGUCUUUUAAAUGAGGACCCGUAUGAAUGGUAGAACGAGGGCUUUACUGUCUCCCCCCUCUAGUCAAUGAAAUUGAUCUACCCGUGCAGAAGCGGGUAUAAAAAUACAAGACGAGAAGACCCUUUGGAGCUUAAAACAUUAGACUAACUAAGUCAAGACCCACAAACACACGUAAACAAAUUAAAUGCUAGUCAAUGUUUUCGGUUGGGGCGACCACGGGGGAAAACAAAGCCCCCACGCAGAAUAGGGACCCCCCCCCCUAAACCAAAAGCCACACCUCCAAGUCACAGAAAAUCUGACUUAAAGAUCCGGCCAAGCCGAUCAACGAACCAAGUUACCCCAGGGAUAACAGCGCAAUCCCCUCCGAGAGGCCCUAUCGACGAGGGGGUUUACGACCUCGAUGUUGGAUCAGGACAUCCUAAUGGUGCAGCAACUAUUAAGGGUUCGUUUGUUCAACGAUUAAAGUCCUACGUGAUCUGAG
Molecule: ribosomal RNA, 524 nt
Filed under: Poecilocharax weitzmani (black morpho tetra)
Lineage: Eukaryota; Metazoa; Chordata; Actinopteri; Characiformes; Crenuchidae
Description: partial 16S large subunit ribosomal RNA
Rfam family: Bacterial large subunit ribosomal RNA
Source: RNAcentral